GAGACGCUUAUGGCAAUCAGGUUAGCAUCCUUCUGUGAAAUAAAUGGAAAUUACCCUUAAUUGUGUCAGUAGCUCAAUGAUCAGUUAUUGAUUAAAAGGGAAAGAGUUUAAAGACUGAAUUUCUGAAAACCCUUUUCAGGAAUAUUCAAGAAUUAAUUAAAAUGAUCAACUAAUUGCUCCCAUUUGUAUCUGAAUGAUCAGGUUUAUGUUCCCAGAAUAG
RNAcentral lists this unclassified non-coding RNA (220 nucleotides) under Hevea brasiliensis (rubber tree). Lineage: Eukaryota; Viridiplantae; Streptophyta; Magnoliopsida; Malpighiales; Euphorbiaceae. The record is from RNAcentral.